This 841-nucleotide long non-coding RNA is filed under the name Homo sapiens (human). RNAcentral's name for it is "long independently transcribed non-coding RNA 165 (LINC00165)". The record is from RNAcentral. Lineage: Eukaryota; Metazoa; Chordata; Mammalia; Primates; Hominidae.
CUGUGGAGGCAGUGGUUGAAGGCCAAUGGCUCCUGGUGUCAUUAAAGACUCUGUUUUUACCUCCUCUGGGCCUCGGGAGACCAGCCUGGCACCAGAGGAGGGGCUGGCAGAGCCCCAGGCUCCAGUCCACACCCACCGGCCCCAGGUCUGGCCAUGGGCUGGGCCCUGGUGUGCAGACAGCAGUGGCCACUGCUCCAGGGCCUUUGCACCAGCCUGCUGCAGGUCCAGGCGGUCAUGGGGAGUGGAGCCGCAGCGGCCUCUUGUUUUCCUUCCCCUCUUGGGAGACGGCUGCUCCUCCUGGCUGUUUCCAGAAAGUGUGUUUGUUAUUUGGCUCCUGGAAACACCAUCUGAUGAAACAGGCUCUGUUGGGCUGGCCUGCCAGGCGGAGGCUGUGGGCGCCCAGGAGUCUCACCACGAAGCAGGUGGCAGAGGCCCGAUAGCCCCACCCUGCAGGCCGGGACCUGGCACCUAAACGGGGAGAUGGAAGAACAUGGAAAAUUCCCUAAGAGCAAAUUGAUGCUCAGCUUCCGCGGGCACCAACUUGCUGCGGAAUCCUGCUUUGCAGAUCAUCGUUCCUCGAGCAUUCGGACGCCUCGGGCCCCAGAAGUUCAAGAACAAGAAAGCUCUGUUUCAUGCAGACACGCUCACGCAUGCACACAUGCUCACACAUGCACUUAUACGUGCACACACACACACACAACACACACACACGCACACUCACACAACCAUGGCCAUGUAGCCCCAGUCUCAGCAUCAUGUCCUCUAUUUAGAAAUAUUGGCUAAACACCUAAUAAAUAACUAAACAGAAAUGUAAUCUUUAAUAAAGUCUCAUAAACCAAAA